GGCGCUAUCGUAUAGCGGUUUAGUACACAGGAUUUUGACGCGUCUCGAAUAUUCCUGUAACCCAGGUUCGAACCCUGGUAGUGCCU
Stereum hirsutum FP-91666 SS1 is the source of this 86-nucleotide transfer RNA. It matches the Rfam family "tRNA". Rfam says of the family: Transfer RNA (tRNA) molecules are approximately 80 nucleotides in length. Their secondary structure includes four short double-helical elements and three loops (D, anti-codon, and T loops). NCBI's taxonomy places the organism in Eukaryota, Fungi, Basidiomycota, Agaricomycetes, Russulales, Stereaceae. The record is from Rfam.